This 8521-nucleotide long non-coding RNA is filed under the name Sus scrofa (pig). Its description in RNAcentral is "lncRNA (ENSSSCG00055019928.1)". Lineage: Eukaryota; Metazoa; Chordata; Mammalia; Artiodactyla; Suidae. The record is from RNAcentral.
AUUCUGCAAAACGUGAGCCCAACAGGAAGCUGCCUACAAAUUCAGGUAGCUUUUCUGCAUCUAAAAGAGGUCUUAAAGAUACUUUCAGAGAAAUGCCAGCAAAAGCUAUAGUCAUUUGGGGAAGAACAAGUCUGGAAGAAAAAUACACAGUGGACUAGGACCAAGAGGCUCCCCCAUAUUGUACGGUUUCAGUGGUAUUCAUUUCUACUGGAUGGAAGGAGAAAGAGCAUAGAGAAACACAUGCGGAAAGGCGUAAUGGGCCAGACUAAAAGUGGCUUGGAUUUUUCCCUUUCUCAGAAGAACUCUGUCACACGGCCACCCCUAAUUUCAAGGAAGGGGGCAGGGUGUAGCUGUUGAGCCAGUAAGAAGAUGAAGCAGAUUUCAGUGAACAAGAAGAAUCAGCCUCUGCACACUGUGUGAUUUUGAUAUACAACUGGUACAUGGUUGAAAACUCACAGGUGAACUAUAAUUUUUGAGUCAAAAUAAUCUAGGUCCCAAACCUAGUCACCUCACAGAUGUCUGACCUUAGGCAAGAUAUCUCCCCUCUCUAUGCCUCAAUCUUUUCUGUUCUUUUUAAGUGAGAAUUUUUAAAUCUGACAUCUUAAGAUUUUUAUGAGAUUGAAAUAAGAUAAUAUGUUUAAAAUCAUUAGAAUACUCGCUGGCACUUAAUGAAUAGUCAUAAAUAUUUUAUUCUAACUGCAUUGUUGGUUUGGAAGGAAAGGGAAACAAGUUCUGCUACUUGAGCUGAGAAAUCAGAUGCAGCAGUAUCAGAAUAAAUAUACUAUUUCAACUGAAUUAUUGGAUUGAGGAGGUGUGAAAAAGCAGAAUUUUAACACAACAGAAGAUUUUUUGCUCUUGUAAGAGAUACUGGGCAAGUGUUCCAGUUAGUGGGCAGCUCUCCUCCAGGUGGUCAUUCUGAGAUCCAGUCUCUUUUUAUCUGGUGGCUCUGCCAUACCCUGGGGCUUUAUCACCAUCUUAUCCAGUGUAGCAAGACACACUGGUGAUAGAGUAUGUAAUGUGGUCUGAGAGUUAGAUGUCUCAAUAACAGAAUAUUUGAUGUUCACAGAAAGAAAAAUUACUCUGAGAAUAAAGCAAAAGAAAUCUUAAGAUAUUAAGGGAUUGAAUAUGUUGGUAGAGCAGUUCUCAAGCUGAGAUUUCAAUAAUCUUGUUAUCAUGUAUUUCAAUUCAGGGAGUUUGAUAUACUUUUAGAUUUGACUUUGCCACAUAUAAGUCUGUACCACUACACCUAAGGAAGUCCAAGAGUACUCAGGUCCAGAAGUGGACCUGAGCUGUGCAGUACUUAUCAUUUGAAUCCAGUGAUACCAUGAAGGAUGAGCUGAAUUCUGUAUAGUUAGGAGGAUUAAUUUAUGAGUCGUUCUGAAGUCUGGAUUAGUAUGAGGACAUUGUCUAAUCAAUGAAGUUAUCUAUUAGAAGCAGAGAAUGAUCCUUGUUCAGCACUUCCUGAAGGUGAGUUAUGUACAGACUUGUUUUCCAAUAAUUUCCACUAGGCCACAAGAAUAUAUCUAUGCUCUUCCUGCCUUCAGAUUCCAACUGGAGGAAUUUAUUCCUAAUCAAAAUAACUAAGAGGAAAAUAUGUCCCUGUGUGCCCCAUCUUCUUGGUUUCUCUACCAUUUUCCAGCUUUCCUGGUUUCAAACCCCGUUUCCCCUACCCCCUUGGCAGACUCUUACACUUUUGGUGCUGUCCUCCCAAAUCAGCAUCUGAGAACAAGACUCCCUCCAUGUGACUUUCCUGAUUCCACUCAAGUUUACCCCUUAGACCUUGCCCUAGUUAUGAACUCUUGCUGACCUGAUAAACCUAUCAGGCCUGCCCCCCCUUCCCCCAUGGGCUUCAUUUACAAUGGUGGUGGUCAAUGUUCUCACCUCAGUAGGUCCCCUGCUUCUUCUGAACACUUGCCUUGGCUAGAUCAUCUAUCAGGGAGGUGGGAGGAAGAGGACAUUGGGGGUACCUUCCAUGUGCCAGUCCCACAGGCAUCAUUUCAUUUAUUACCUUGGUGCCCCUGGGAAAUUACUUGAGCACUGCAACUUCCUUUUCUACUUCUGCGAAAUGAAGAUGAUGACAAGUUCCCAGGAUCAAAUCAUAGCCACUGUCUAUUUAGGUCCUCACUAUGUGGCUGGGUCUCUGUUUAGUGUUAGAUGUACUAUCUAAUUUAAGCCCUAUAACAUCCCUAGGAAGUAGGUCUUAUAGCAUGCCCAUAUUUGUAGAUGAGGAAAUUGAGACAAGGGAAGGUUAGGCGACUCAAUCAAUUUGGGCAUAGUGCUUGGAUCUUCAGCGUUUCCAGGUAAUAUUGACUCAGUUGAUUUCCUUGCCUCUGAAAGUAUAGUGACAAUAGAAAAUUUUUAUGACUAGAGGCACCUUUAGCACAAAUAUCAUAGUCCCAUUAUGUGCUCUCUUCAGCAACACUUCUGUGGCGGCUCUUUGCCACAUGAGCCCACUUUACCCAAAACCAAGUAACACAAACUUAAAUCUGACCUAGUUUAAUAAAAAUGUGGGUUGUGGUUCAAUUGUUCAGUAAUUGAUUACUAAGAAUUUAAACAGUGUUUAACAACCACGAUAAAUGCAGUCUUUCUUUUGUGGUCUCUCUCAGAAACACUGCUAUUUCUCACUGUUUUAUACACACGGUAACUCCUUCCAAAUAACCUGCAAAUGCAUAGGAGUUACAUUCCCCCAAACACCAUAUCUCAAACGGUGUGGCUUUAAAGAGGGGUCAUGGAAUGGAUCUCAAGAUGAUGUUCCAGAUAACUCAAGCCCUAAAUGUUAUCCCUCAUGUUUGUUGUCUACAGUUUACUGGCAGUGGCCAGUAAACUGAAGCCCUGAUUCUGCUCCAAAAUAAUCUAUACUACUUACUUCCCUUUCAACAAGUAGACAAACUCAAGUGGAGAGAAAAGCAGCCUGAGCACAGGAGUGCUGGUAUCAAGAGGACAGUCAGACCAGUCAGCUGACACCCACUGGCUGUGGUUCCUACCACCACUUGCGCUACGUAGCUGAAGUGAGAAGAAUUCGCGGUGUUUGGUUUCUUUCCCGUUAUUCAACUGAAAGCAGCCAAGUGCGUAUCACAAGUGGCCUCCUCGCCAAAUUCAGUGACCUCUUUUUUCAAUCUCAUUCAGCUUUGUAUCCAGUCUGCCCACCAAUUGUUCACUAAAAUGGUAGACUCUGCAGUUUCUAUUCAGCACACAGGCCUUCCACCUGGGAAAGUCCGGCUUAGCGAUGACAUUUCCGUCCUGCUCACAAAGUUACCCAUUGGCUCUUGUGUGUUUCAGAGGGAUGUUUUCUAAAGCUGAGCAUUAUUUGGAAAACAAAAGUGAUGAGCCAACUAACCCACAUGUCAUACCGAAAUCUUAGAAGGAAAUUACUGCCUACAAGACACAUAGACACAUACACACAACCGCUUUUUAAAAUAUUUUUGCAUUUCACUGAGUUCUAUUAAAUAGCUUCAGAAUGUUUGAAACAUACUAGAAAUUCCUGAGAAAUAUUUGUUUCAAUAAAUUUCCUAUAGACAUGUUUGGGAAGUAAAAAUGUUUUCUUCUAUUCAUUUACAUAUUCACACAGUAAACAUGCAGUGAAGUCUAUCCUCAAUACCUAGCACUCGGCUUAUAAUAAUGAAAAACCUAGGUUCCUGCACUCAAGGACUUUAAUUUAGUGAAGGACAGAACCACAUGUAAAUAGCUACAAUUCAAAGAGUAAAGGUGAUCAGAGAAAUACAAAAUACUUGGGAUGAAAGAGAAAGAAGUGUCUCACUACCAGGCUCUUUGAAGAUCAACAGAGAAAGGUGUUGGUGACCUGCAUCUUGACCUGAAUCUUCAUGGAUUGGAAAGAAUUUAUAAAGGGGAGAACAGAAAAGACUAACAUUUCAGUAGAGGGAAUAAAGCCUGGAGGUAUAAAAGAGCAUGGUAAAUUUAUGAUCCCAUACACUGGGCCAACAGGUAUCUACUCCCACUGCAUGUUGUUAAAGAGUCUGCUUGAGAGCUGCAGGAUCUCUCAGCGGAAAAGGGUGAUUUUCAUCUAACAGCAUCUGCUGAGUACAUUCAUCUAUCAGUGGAGAGGCAAGGCAGCAAAGCUGGAGGCCAUGUCUGGGAGGCAUGCAACUCUGUUGCUCAUCCACAUGAGGUCAUAAAUAUAACUGUGUGAAUUUCAACAUUUCUUAUUUUUAUCUUUCUUCCACAAAGAAACCUAGAGUGCUCAGAAAUAAUGUUUGGAAUGUUGGAAAUGAGUACAAAUACUGACUAUGGAUUUGGGACUGGCAACUUCUGGACUCCCCAUUUCCACUGCUGAUAAUGGCUUUUCACCACACAUGCUUUCCAGCAAUGUUUUUGAAGCUGAGCCCAAGAGGUCUUUUGGCUAUACUUCCAAAGUUUUCACAGAUAGCCAAGCAUGCGAACACCACAUUCACCGCCCCUGUGCAACUGGAGCAACUUCAUAUGCUUCACACAUCAACCUCCUGUUUCAAACUAUAUUUAAAGGGUCCGCUUCAUGCACCUCCUUCGGGUUUUUAAAACCACUUAGGUUUCUGGAAUCACAGUUCUGCUCUAAAUAAUAGUGACCACCCUGAGCUAUAUUUAUUGUGUUACUCUAUGCCAGAGCACUAUUUGUGCAGUAGAAUUUCUUCUAUUAUGAAGUAGAGAAGACGUGCUUUCAUCCUUGCAGGUUAAGUGUGAUGGUGAAUAAGAUAAAGGCUAAAUAUAUUUAGAGAUAAACACUACAUAUUAAAUGUUAAAACCACACAUCAAUAGACUUCAUUUUAGAUUGUGGUUUCAGGGUGUCAGGCUAUCUUUUGGCUUAGCUGACUAAUCUACCCCUUUGGUAAGAUUGGUUCUUCUAUUUUUCCUGCAGAGAGAAGAGGUGUAAAGACAAGAUAUUCUUUAGCUUAUGCACUCAUCCAUCAUUUUUUUAAGAGACUCCUCUGAUUACUGUGUGGAGAACAGACCAGGUGGGGAAUGACUGGCAAUGUUGGGAGUCUAUUUCGGCAGCUAGUGCUAUCACCCAGUCAACAGGUGAAAACCCACGUUGCAAAGCAAAUUUAUUUCUACAAGUUACAGAAGUACACAGGUCUCACAUGGAUCCCUAAUGGAUCUACUAUGCCAUACCAAAGCGGGGGGGCGGGGGAGGCAUAGUGCAGCACUUGACUCUUGGUUCAAAUUUCAGCUCUGGCCAUUGUGGGACCAUGAUCCUUACAUCUUGAUUUCUAGCUUCUUAGAACUAUGUUUUGCCAUUUUUAAAAAGAGGCUAAAAGUAGUACCUACCACAGAGGAUUGUCAAAAAUACAGAAGUAAGUAUAUGUGAAGUGUUUAGAAUAGUUCCCACCAGGCAGUAAGUUCCAACUAUCUUUUUGCCUAGAACACACUCACACACACAAAAAGCAUCUAAAUGGGGCAAUGCGGUUUGUGACCCCAAGAGGGCAGCAAAGGAAUAAGAAUGGAGGUGGAAGUACACAAAACCAAAUUCAUGUAAAUUAUCAAAGAAGACGUACUGUCUGAUGAGGAAACAAACAAACAAGCAAACAAACAGGAAGAAGGCUUCUAUGAAUCCUGCAAAAUGGAGGCUGAGCUCAGGGCCACUUAGAGCCUGACAUUCGCUAACAGUUCAAGUGUAGUAAAAAAUCAGUGACUCGAGGAACGAGAAGGAUGCAGACUUUCAUCUGGGAACACACUUCCAAGGUGGGCCACUCACCUCAGUUGAUACUGGCUGCUGACUGAGUGCUUAGCUGAGGCUGAGGGCCAAUGCCCUUACUUUCCCUCCAUGUGGACCUCUCUAUGUGACCUGGAUUUCCUUACAGAUGGUAGCUGGGAUCCUGUCUCUCAUUUCCACAAGCAAAGCAUCAGCAAGUCUUAACAGGUCUGGAGGCAAAGUACAUUCCAAAACUAAUCUGAUCUCAUUUCCACAGCUCCCACCUGAGUCCAAGUCAACAUGCUUCUCUCUCCAGAUUACAGCAAAGUCUCCUGAGAGGCUUCCACCCUUCCAAUUUAGCCCCACGUAAUCUAUUAUUUAUACUGGAGCCAGUGAAACCUGAUCAUGUCACAUUGCUCAUCUUUUUCUUUCUUUCUUUCCUUUUAGGGCUGCAUCUGUGGCACAUUCCCAGGCUAGGGGCUGAAUAGGAGCUGCAGCUACCGGCCUACACCAUAGCCACAGCAACACCAGAUCCAAAUGGCAUCUUUGAUCUACUCUGUAGCUUGUGACAAUGCUGGAUCCUAACCCACUGAGUGAGGCCAGGAAUUGAACCCGCAUCCUCACAGAUACUAUAAUGGGUUCUUAAUCCAUUGGGCCACAAAGGGAACUCCUCACACUGCUCAUCUAAAAACCAUCUGAUGGCUUCCUAUCAUCAUUACACUAAAUGAUGAUUAUCAUCAUCAGCUCUAAUGGUGGCCUGUCUGUAUGCUGACCCCUGUUUCUCCUUCUCUUUUCAUCUUCAGCCUUCUCUCCACCACAUGCACACUGACCUUCUUUCUCUAAUUCCAGUAGUUGAGGGAUGUUUCCAUUUCAGGGCCUUCUGUUCCCAAAUCUCUUCAUACCUGCUCUAUCCCAUUGUUCACACCUCAGCUUGGAUACUACCUCCUGGGUCAUCCCACAUAAAUAAGUACUUCCUAUCCCUUAACCCUGCUGUAUUUUUAUCAUACUUAUUAUUGAAAUUGUUAUUUAUAUAUUUGAUUCCUUGCUCGUGGUCUUCUUCCAGAAUAUAAAUACCUCAUAGAUGGGGGUUUGAAUUUUGUUCAUCGCUUUUAUUAACAGCACUUAGAUCCAUUUAAUAAAGCUAUGUUGAUCACUGAAUAGAGAAUUAAAAAAAAAAAAGAAAGAAAACAGACUCCUUCUGGCCUUUCUGAUUGGAAGUGGCAUAAACUAAGCUCUGCUUUCACUAUAAUGCAAACAUGUCUGUGCUCCCUCUUAGCUAUGGGCAAUCCUUUCCUAGGAUCCUGUGGUUUUUAUAGAAUAGUUGGGGACGAGUGGUUGUUUCAAUGUGUACUCUUCAAGGGGUUUCGGCUUGAUGCUGGUUAUCUGCACUACUGUGGUUCAGCUAUGUUUGGGCUUGUUAGGUGAGUUGGUGGUGACAGGCCUCUCAGAGUUCAAUUCUAAUGAAGUUUUUGGUUUUGAAUGGCUGACUACAAAGAAGACUGUGGUUGGGGUGAGUGGGGGAAGUAGGGGGUGGAGAUAGGAAGGGAAUGCGAAGGUGUAAUGGCUAAGUGAACAUGCUGUCACUCUUCUGGGCUGCUCACCACAAUUGCACAGGCUGCCUACAUUUGGGGAAUCCCCCCUCCUGGCAUCUAGGACACUGGGAUACACUAUAGGCCCCAACAAACACAUACACCUGAGCAAGGUUUUGAAUCAUUUCAGAGAAACAAGUGCCACCUGGGGUCUACUCUGGUGAGAAAGGCAACAGGUAAGUCCAAUUCUCAGAGGGAGGGCUGGCUAAGGUCACACACCAGCCAAGACCCAGCACCAGCAGAGGCAACAGAGUAGUUUCUAGCAGAGCCAUUCUUUAGUGUGAUUCUGGGCACUGAUCCUGGCCGAGGAGCCUCCCUGUCUGGUUUCUAGCUCCCUGGGAAAUCCUAUAUUCGUUAAUAAAUUCCUUUUCUACUCAUACUAUUUUUCAAUUAGCUGCAACUGAGAACUCUGACCAGAACAGGUGGGGUGUUUAUUAUGAGUCUAACCCAGGCACCAGGCCUGACACAUCUGGAGAAAGGAGCUAGAAGCCCAAAAUGGCAGAAAUUAUUUUAAUGAGAAAUUUCAUGAGAAUCAGAAUCUGAAGAGCAAUGCUUUAUUCUCCCAUGUGACAGAAUUCUACAUCAAGCAGGAAAAUGAGCCUUCUCCUACUUUUCCCUGGAACACACAGAAUCCUGGCACCAGGAAGAACCCAGAGAAAUAGUCUUCAAACAACUUUUAGAAGUUCUAUUCUUUUUUUAAUGAAUUCCAACACAGAAACAAGUCCAGCUGGAACCAGCUGAGGUGGGACUUGGUACCUCAACCAUGUCACUGGGGUGUCCUUACAGAUCCCUAGACUACUUUGUGAUCAAUCUCCAGGACUCAAUGGUAGUGUGAGGCAGGAGGCCCACAGAGUCUAUGACACCCAGGAGACCAGGAGAAUCUCCUGAGACAACACCUUGCAGAUGCAUGCCAGAAAGGCAGCAGUCCCAGGUAAGCAGAUUUAUUUCUGAGCACAUCACCUGAGGGUUCCCAUAAGGCUGGUGGGGAGCCCAUCAGGCCUUGUUUCAGGGACUCCAGACCUUGCAUUAAGAUGUGAGGACAGGAGUUCUCGUCGUGGCUCAGUGGUUAACGAACCCAACUAGUAACCGUGAGGAUGCAGCUUCUAUCCCGGACCUUGCUCAGUGGGUUAAGGACCUGGCAUUGCCAUGAGCUGUGGUGGAGGUCGCAGAUGCGGCUUGGAUCCCACAUUGCUGUGGCUGUGGCAUAGGCUGGCAGCUGCAGCUCCAAUUUGACCCCUAGCCUGGGAACAUCCACAUGCUGUGUGUGCAGCCCUAAAAAGACAAAAGACAAAAAAAAAAAAAAAAAAGU